Peromyscus eremicus (cactus mouse) is the source of this 711-nucleotide long non-coding RNA. RefSeq lists it as uncharacterized. Lineage: Eukaryota; Metazoa; Chordata; Mammalia; Rodentia; Cricetidae. The record is from RefSeq and is a predicted model, not a curated record. The transcript has 2 exons.
UAAGUAAUCAGAAGGAAGAUUCCAGGCUGAGCGGAGUAACAGGCUUCCCUCUGGCCUGGAACAGCUGGAGAAACGAACCUGAGCCGUGUGACUGCUCCAGCUCACUGCCCAGAGAGAGGUUUGGUCUGCAGCAUGGGAGAAGGAGCUGUGGCAGAGUCCUCUCACCAUCCUGCGUUGAGGAGGGGGAGCCGAGCUCACAUCCUGAAAACAAGAAAGCUGCACAGAAAGAGACCUCUAGAGAUGGCACAGGUGCCCACCAAGCACUCAGCUGGGUUCUGACCACUGCAUGUGUAAGGAAACUACUCGAGGGCAGGAAACUGCCAAAGCUCACACGCACUGGAAACAGGGCAUGUUCCCCCGAGUUGGGGCAGGAAACCUCAAAUGGUGUCUCUUCACAGCAAUGGAACCUAACUAAGACAAGAAGUGAAAUGUGGAGGAAGAAACCUAGAUAAAAAUUUCUUUUAAGAGAUGGACAACAGAGAAUCUACCAGGAUCCCGUGCCCUUCCUGAAGCAUCAAUGAUCCAGAAGCCAGGUGUCUGGCUUUUCCAGGUCACAUUCAGCCAGUCUUCCAGAUACUACUAAAAGAGGAGACAGAAGCAAGAAUCCUUGUUAAUGGAGAAAAGUCUGGAAGGACAAACACAUUUCUGAUGUUAUUUCUUGGUUAGAAAUGAAAGGAAAGAUGAUACAGUAUUAAGUGUUUCUUUAUAAAA